Molecule: non-coding RNA, 85 nt
Organism: Acanthosepion pharaonis
Lineage: Eukaryota; Metazoa; Mollusca; Cephalopoda; Sepiida; Sepiidae
Source: the annotation of a GenBank genome assembly
AUCCCGCACGAUCACCGAAGUUAAGAAACGUAGAGCCUGGUCGGUACUUAGAUGGGUAACCGCUUGGGAAUACCAGGUGCUGUAA